RNAcentral lists this ribosomal RNA (301 nucleotides) under uncultured bacterium. RNAcentral describes it as "partial 16S ribosomal RNA". It matches the Rfam family "Bacterial small subunit ribosomal RNA", at positions 509 to 807 of the family's 1533-position model. The record is from RNAcentral.
CAGUCGCCACGGUAAUACGUAGGGGGCUAGCGUUGUUCGGAAUUACUAGGCGUAAAGCGCACGUAGGCGGCUUUGUAAGUUAGAGGUGAAAGCCCGGAGCUCAACUCCGGAAUUGCCUUUAAGACUGCAGAGCUAGCAGGUGAGAGAGGUGAGUGGAAUUCCGAGUGUAGAGGUGAAAUUCGUAGAUAUUCGGAAGAACACCAGUGGCGAAGGCGGCUCACUGGCUCAUACUGGACGCUGAGGUGCGAAAGCGUGGGGAGCAAACAGGAUUAGAUACCCCAGUAGUCCCUGUCUCUUAUAC